GAUGAACGCUGGCGGCGUGCCUAAUACAUGCAAGUCGAGCGAACAGACGAGGAGCUUGCUCUUCUGACGUUAGCGGCGGACGGGUGAGUAACACGUGGAUAACCUACCUAUAAGACUGGGAUAACUUCGGGAAACCGGAGCUAAUACCGGAUAAUAUAUUGAACCGCAUGGUUCAAUAGUGAAAGACGGUUUUGCUGUCACUUAUAGAUGGAUCCGCGCCGCAUUAGCUAGUUGGUAAGGUAACGGCUUACCAAGGCAACGAUGCGUAGCCGACCUGAGAGGGUGAUCGGCCACACUGGAACUGAGACACGGUCCAGACUCCUACGGGGGGCAGCAGUAGGGAAUCUUCCGCAAUGGGCGAAAGCCUGACGGAGCAACGCCGCGUGAGUGAUGAAGGUCUUCGGAUCGUAAAACUCUGUUAUUAGGGAAGAACAAAUGUGUAAGUAACUAUGCACGUCUUGACGGUACCUAAUCAGAAAGCCACGGCUAACUACGU
RNAcentral lists this ribosomal RNA (496 nucleotides) under uncultured bacterium. RNAcentral describes it as "partial 16S ribosomal RNA". It matches the Rfam family "Bacterial small subunit ribosomal RNA", at positions 28 to 506 of the family's 1533-position model. The record is from RNAcentral.